Molecule: ribosomal RNA, 411 nt
Filed under: Pelobates cultripes (western spadefoot toad)
Lineage: Eukaryota; Metazoa; Chordata; Amphibia; Anura; Pelobatidae
Description: SSU rRNA
Rfam family: Eukaryotic small subunit ribosomal RNA
Source: RNAcentral
AAAUAUUGGGACAUAUAAAAAAAAGAAAAAAAAGAAUAGGUGCACUUGAGUAUAACAAUGGCUGGGUGAGGCCAGUAUAAAUGUCUAUUCUGCACAAGGUACAGACAAGUCUGGUGGUAUCCAUGCCUGGUUCAUUUUAAUAAAUGUGAGCUUGUCCACGUUGGCUGUGGACAGGCGGCUGCGCUUGUCUGUGAUAACCUCAUGCCAAUUGCACUUCCCCGUGACAGCGACAACGCAUUCGGAUGUCUGCCCUAUCAACUUUCGAUGCUAUUUUCCGCAGCUACCAUGGUGACCAUGGGUAACAGGGAAUCAGGGUUCAAUUCCAGAGAGGGAUCCUGAGAAACGGCUACCACGUGCAAGGAAGGCAGUAGGCGUGCAAACUACCCACUCCCGACGCGGGGAGGUAGUGAC